Molecule: long non-coding RNA, 1104 nt
Filed under: Equus asinus (donkey)
Lineage: Eukaryota; Metazoa; Chordata; Mammalia; Perissodactyla; Equidae
Description: lncRNA (ENSEASG00005030190.1)
Source: RNAcentral
CUGACAUGCAGCAGCUGCUGCGAUGAGCCCCAGCGAACUGGAAGGGGGAAAAGUAAGAGGGUGGGUUUCUGUUUCUCACCAUUCUUCUCCCUCAGGACCUUAACUCCUGAUCGCCAUUGCCUGGUGCAGGGCUGCAGACCGUUCUCUCUGCCCUCCGCACUGAAACAGGGUAGAGGUUGGGAGCUGUCCUGGCACCCCAAGUCCACAUGGGAAGGGAGCAGCUCAGUGCCUGGGGCCUUCCUUCAGAACCUCUCCAAGGCCUGCUGGCUUGAGAAUGGGACCUUGUAGACAGGAACAUGGCCUGAGGUCAGUGUGGCUCUCAGACAGACUCAUUUCAGUCCUUUGACAACUAGAUUCCCCCUUUCACUCAGAGAUCAGCCCUCUUGCCCUGGAUGCCAUAGAGGGAGGUGGAAAAGAAAAAAUAAAUCAGCAGCCUGAUCCUCCAAGACCAGCCAGUGGUCAGACUUUGGUUAGUCUGGGGUGGGGGUGGGGGUUGGCAAAUUUGUUUUCCACCCCCUGCCCCAUGGGGAAAGGUCUGGAAAUCCAAAGGCUUCUUUUACAGAGGGCAAGAAGCUGUCAGGCGAAUGCACCCUGGUCAAGCAUGGGAGAACACGGGGGCAUCCUUUGGCCUGUUUUAUAGACGAGGAAACUGAGACUUGGGAAGGUCAAAGGGCCUGGGUGAGCCAAGGAUGGGGCAGAGAGCAGCAGCCAUGUCUCCUGGUGCCCGUGCUUUUUCUCCCAUAUGGAUCCCCGGUCUGGGAAUUCAACAUAUGAUUUAUUUUCUUUUGUUUGUUUAUUUUAUUUUAACCACUUUAUUGAGGUAUGAUUGAUAUACAAAAAGCUACACAUAUUUAAUGUUGAGAGUGUGAACUGUACAACCACUUUGGAGAACAGUAGGGCAUUCAGUGUAGUGGAAGAUGCACAUGCCUAGGACCCAGAAAUUUCUCUAAGUACAUACUAACUCAUGCACGCAUGCUUAGGAAUGUUCAGAACAACCUGUUCACAAUUGCCCUAAACUGGAUACAACCCAAUCAGCCAUCAACAUUAGAACAGAUAAAUAAAGUAGCCAUAUAUAGAUUCUAGGUAGAUGGAUAACUCUUCACA